Molecule: long non-coding RNA, 225 nt
Filed under: Ananas comosus (pineapple)
Lineage: Eukaryota; Viridiplantae; Streptophyta; Magnoliopsida; Poales; Bromeliaceae
Description: long non-coding RNA (ACOM_LNC012546)
Source: RNAcentral
AAUAUGGACAUAAAAAAUAAAACUAAACGGAUUCAGAUUCAGAUAUAAAUUUUGCCUGCACUCGAAUCAAACCCGAACCCGAAUAGAUUUUAUAUUAUUAUAAAAUUAUAAAAUAUAUAUAAAUAUUUGAUAUUAUAUUUAAAUUUAUAUUUAAGAAAUUUAUAUUUUAAUAUAAUAUAUUUUGAAAUAUGGUAAAGUAAAAUAACUAUUUCAUAUUCGAAUUUU